AGACCCGAAACCCGGUGAUCUAGCCAUGGGCAGGUUGAAGGUUGGGUAACACUAACUGGAGGACCGAACCGACUAAUGUUGAAAAAUUAGCGGAUGACCUGUGGCUGGGGGUGAAAGGCCAAUCAAACCGGGAGAUAGCUGGUUCUCCCCGAAAGCUAUUUAGGUAGCGCCUCGUGAAUUCAUCUCCGGGGGUAGAGCACUGUUUCGGCUAGGGGGCCAUCCCGGCUUACCAACCCGAUGCAAACUGCGAAUACCGGAGAAUGUUAUCACGGGAGACACACGGCGGGUGCUAACGUCCGUCGUGAAGAGGGAAACAACCCAGACCGCCAGCUAAGGUCCCAAAGUCAUGGUUAAGUGGGAAACGAUGUGGGAAGGCCCAGACAGCCAGGAUGUUGGCUUAGAAGCAGCCAUCAUUUAAAGAAAGCGUAAUAGCUCACUGGUCGAGUCGGCCUGCGCGGAAGAUGUAACGGGGCUAAACCAUGCACCGAAGCUGCGGCAGCGAACGUAUCACCCAAGACAACUUUACGGAGUUGACGAUUGACGGAGCGAAGCGACGUCAAAGCGUUCAUUAAAGUCGAGUUGGCUUAGGGAUACGUUCGUUGGGUAGGGGAGCGUUCUGUAAGCCUGUGAAGGUGUGUCGUGAGGCAUGCUGGAGGUAUCAGAAGUGCGAAUGCUGACAUAAGUAACGAUAAAGCGGGUGAAAAGCCCGCUCGCCGGAAGACCAAGGGUUCCUGUCCAACGUUAAUCGGGGCAGGGUGAGUCGACCCCUAAGGCGAGGCCGAAAGGCGUAGUCGAUGGGAAACGGGUUAAUAUUCCCGUACUUGGUGUUACUGCGAAGGGGGGACGGAGAAGGCUAUGUUGGCCGGGCGACGGUUGUCCCGGUUUAAGCGUGUAGGUGUGUGUUCCAGGUAAAUCCGGUUCACUUUAACACUGAGGCGUGACGACGAGGCACUACGGUGCUGAAGCAACAAAUGCCCUGCUUCCAGGAAAAGCCUCUAAGCAUCAGGUAACACGAAAUCGUACCCCAAACCGACACAGGUGGUCAGGUAGAGAAUACCAAGGCGCUUGAGAGAACUCGGGUGAAGGAACUAGGCAAAAUGGUGCCGUAACUUCGGGAGAAGGCACGCUGACACGUAGGUGAAGUGAUUUACUCAUGGAGCUGAAGUCAGUCGAAGAUACCAGCUGGCUGCAACUGUUUAUUAAAAACACAGCACUGUGCAAACACGAAAGUGGACGUAUACGGUGUGACGCCUGCCCGGUGCCGGAAGGUUAAUUGAUGGGGUCAGCGUAAGCGAAGCUCCUGAUCGAAGCCCCGGUAAACGGCGGCCGUAACUAUAACGGUCCUAAGGUAGCGAAAUUCCUUGUCGGGUAAGUUCCGACCUGCACGAAUGGCGUAAUGAUGGCCAGGCUGUCUCCACCCGAGACUCAGUGAAAUUGAACUCGCUGUGAAGAUGCAGUGUACCCGCGGCAAGACGGAAAGACCCCGUGAACCUUUACUAUAGCUUGACACUGAACAUUGAGCCUUGAUGUGUAGGAUAGGUGGGAGGCUUUGAAGUGUGGACGCCAGUCUGCAUGGAGCCGACCUUGAAAUACCACCCUUUAAUGUUUGAUGUUCUAACGUGGACCCGUAAUCCGGGUUGCGGACAGUGUCUGGUGGGUAGUUUGACUGGGGCGGUCUCCUCCUAAAGAGUAACGGAGGAGCACGAAGGUUGGCUAAUCCUGGUCGGACAUCAGGAGGUUAGUGCAAUGGCAUAAGCCAGCUUGACUGCGAGCGUGACGGCGCGAGCAGGUGCGAAAGCAGGUCAUAGUGAUCCGGUGGUUCUGAAUGGAAGGGCCAUCGCUCAACGGAUAAAAGGUACUCCGGGGAUAACAGGCUGAUACCGCCCAAGAGUUCAUAUCGACGGCGGUGUUUGGCACCUCGAUGUCGGCUCAUCACAUCCUGGGGCUGAAGUAGGUCCCAAGGGUAUGGCUGUUCGCCAUUUAAAGUGGUACGCGAGCUGGGUUUAGAACGUCGUGAGACAGUUCGGUCCCUAUCUGCCGUGGGCGCUGGAGAACUGAGGGGGGCUGCUCCUAGUACGAGAGGACCGGAGUGGACGCAUCACUGGUGUUCGGGUUGUCAUGCCAAUGGCACUGCCCGGUAGCUAAAUGCGGAAGAGAUAAGUGCUGAAAGCAUCUAAGCACGAAACUUGCCCCGAGAUGAGUUC
RNAcentral lists this ribosomal RNA (2204 nucleotides) under Salmonella enterica. RNAcentral describes it as "partial 23S ribosomal RNA". It matches the Rfam family "Bacterial large subunit ribosomal RNA", at positions 711 to 2811 of the family's 2925-position model. The record is from RNAcentral. RNAcentral also lists the same sequence under 2 other names. Lineage: Bacteria; Pseudomonadati; Pseudomonadota; Gammaproteobacteria; Enterobacterales; Enterobacteriaceae.